Molecule: unclassified non-coding RNA, 23 nt
Filed under: synthetic construct
Source: RNAcentral
CUUGCUGAAGCACGCACGGCAAG